Molecule: transfer RNA, 67 nt
Filed under: Triticum aestivum (bread wheat)
Lineage: Eukaryota; Viridiplantae; Streptophyta; Magnoliopsida; Poales; Poaceae
Also listed under: 1 other name
Rfam family: tRNA
About the family: Transfer RNA (tRNA) molecules are approximately 80 nucleotides in length. Their secondary structure includes four short double-helical elements and three loops (D, anti-codon, and T loops). Further hydrogen bonds mediate the characteristic L-shaped molecular structure. tRNAs have two regions of fundamental functional importance: the anti-codon, which is responsible for specific mRNA codon recognition, and the 3' end, to which the tRNAs corresponding amino acid is attached (by aminoacyl-tRNA synthetases). tRNAs cope with the degeneracy of the genetic code in two manners: having more than one tRNA (with a specific anti-codon) for a particular amino acid; and 'wobble' base-pairing, i.e. permitting non-standard base-pairing at the 3rd anti-codon position.
Source: Rfam by way of RNAcentral
CCACUUCUCAGUUGGUAGAGCACAAGGCUCUUAACCUUGUGGACGUGGGUUCAAGCCCCAUGGUGGG